RNAcentral lists this long non-coding RNA (1050 nucleotides) under Pogona vitticeps (central bearded dragon). RNAcentral describes it as "lncRNA (ENSPVIG00000001848.1)". Lineage: Eukaryota; Metazoa; Chordata; Lepidosauria; Squamata; Agamidae. The record is from RNAcentral.
AUGGGUCUGGUGUUUUUUUUAAAAAAAGAGUGGGGCUGCAGGGGUGGCCACGGAGGGCCGUGGGGUGUCGCUUUCUACCACCCUAGGGACCACCCCCCCUCCGGUCCAGCACACUUCAGGAAGGAGCCUACUCAGGGCUCCUUAGCAGCAGGAGAAGCUGCUGCCAGAGGGGGGGGGGGGGACCUGCUGUUGCCGGUACGGGGCCACCCGGCAGCAGCCCCCAAUCCCUCCAGCCCUCCCCAAGGAAAAGCCAGAGGGCAGGGGCGAGGCGCCCACCCCCACCAGCCAAAGGGGUGCCCUGGAGAGGCUUCUGUGGGGCAGCCCAAAGGGAGAGCCCCUCCCUCAAGGAACGCCCCACCCUGCCCCAGGGGCCGGCCGGAGGGAGAGCCCCCCCUGUGCGCCCAGGCGGCACCACAGCGGUGUGACCUCAGUCUGUGUCCGCGCUGGUGCCCCCCCCCCAAGGUGCCAGGUGUGGGCCAGCGGGCAGCUCAGGUGCAGUGGCGGCGGCAGCUGGUGGCAGCGACCGGGGUGGGGCUGUUGGGGGCGGGGCGGAGGGCGCGCCCGGGACCUGAUCCGUUGCCUCUGUUGCUGCUCCGGAAAGAGUCCUCAGUACAGCCGCUUCUCAUAACUGCAGAAGGGGUGGGGGGGCGCAGUGGGAGGGGGAGAGAGAACAAAAGGGUGGGUCACCUUGCCUCCCCACCUCCACACACAGUGUGUGUGUGUGUGUGUGCGCAUGUGCAUGUAGGUCCUGCCUCCUCUAAUCCCAGAAGCCCACGUGGCACAGCGCUGAGCUCAAGCGUGGGAGAAGUGGGUUCGAAUUCUGACUGUGCCUUGCCACAAGAGAAAUCCCAACCUAAACUGGCCUGGUUUGGAUGGGUUUGUGAGAGAUCUGGACGCCAGCGGAAAGGCCACGCCUGGUUUAUCUCUGCGAAGUCACCUUGGGACAUCUUCAGACCGGUUCUGAGCUGGCGAACCGAUUGGGGGGGGGCUCCAAAGCCCCGAAUGGGUGACCAAAGCAGGUCACGGGACCCACGGGCAGCCCUAGUUUGA